UCUCUGGCAUCUUGAAUUUAGGGCCCUUCAGUUUCGCAUCUGGACCUUCAAUAUUCACAUCUGGAACAUCAACGUCCACCUUGGGUCCUGAGACGUCAAGGUCAGCCUUGGGCAGGUUCACAUCCACAUCUGGGCCCUCUCCUUUGAAGCCAGGCAUGCUGAACUUGGGCAUUUUCACCUUGGGCAUCUUCAGGUGCCAGUCUGGGCCAUGAACAUCCACAUCUGGGGCAUCAAUGUCCAUUUUGGGUCCUUUGAUGUCAACAUCUGGCACUUUCAUUUCACCUUCUACCUUGGGCACAGACACCUCCACAUCUGGGGCAUCAAUGUCCAUUUUGGGUCCUUUGAUUUCAACAUCUGGCACUUUCAUUUCACCUUCUACCU
RNAcentral lists this long non-coding RNA (381 nucleotides) under Homo sapiens (human). Its description in RNAcentral is "HSALNT0176165". Lineage: Eukaryota; Metazoa; Chordata; Mammalia; Primates; Hominidae. The record is from RNAcentral.